RNAcentral lists this microRNA precursor (100 nucleotides) under Daucus carota subsp. sativus. RNAcentral describes it as "sRNA DCAR_mi00184". The record is from RNAcentral. Lineage: Eukaryota; Viridiplantae; Streptophyta; Magnoliopsida; Apiales; Apiaceae.
CUAUAUUCUGGAGGAGUGCUGCCUGAGAACACGCGUGCAUUUGGAAGCUUGAUGCUCUUAGAAUACACUUGUGUUCUCAGGUCACCCCUUUAGAAAAUAG